CUUUUUCUUUUUUUAUUUCUUCUUCUCUCCGCCUCUCAGCUUCAUCAUCUCAAACACGAUGAUGAGCUAAUUUGCCGCUCUCCAAUGGCGAAACUGAUAGACAAUAUUACUUCUCUCGAUUUCAGUAGCAGCGAAUCUCAUUUGUUCACUUCUCAGCUUUAGGGAAUCUGCUCAUUUAGUUUGUUCUCAAUAGAUCACUACGUUUUAUUAUUGGAAGCGGAUUUUCUAUUCAACCGUAGAUUGUUGCUCUCUCAGAUUCCAUUGCAACCACAAACUAAACAGAUAUGUAGAAUUUUUUUAUGCAUUUUGCAAUAUUUGCUUGUCUAACUAGAAAAAAGUUGUAGUCAGGUCUCUUCCUGAACAUUACAGAUAAUCAGCUUUUGUUUGAAAUCAGGUAACUCUUGUGCUAUGGUUGGAGAAUCUUUCAUUGGAAAGGAAUUGAUGUGAGAAGCUACAAUGGUUUUUGUGUUGCACACAAGUUUCACAUUGGGAUGGAAUGGAAUGAAGUUGCCUCUAUCACAAAGCAGGACAUAAAUUUAACUGAAUUGAGUCAUUUUGGUUUGAGCUAUAACAUUUAUAUGCCUCUACAGCUAUAGCUUCAGACUUGGUUUUGAUGUUCUAGGAUCGACAAAAACUUGUUGCGUUGCUCAACCGGGCUAGCAAAUGAUGUCAUCAUUGAAGUUGGAGAAAUGUCCUUCCAUCUCCACAAGGUAUUAUACAAUUCAAUUUUUAUUCAUGUACAAAAUUGAGUUGCAUAAUGUGCUUAAAUUUGAAGUGCAAUAGCCUAACUAUUCUCUUGCUAAAAUGAAGUUCUAGCGUGUCCUCUUCAUCUUUCUUUGUCCAGCCGUGAUUUGAUGCCUUCUGUUUUAGUCAUCUAAUCGUUUAAAAGUUUGAAGAAUAUUGAUUGCCCUAUGAGCUUUUCUGCAUUCAUUUCUGUCUUUAUUUCUUAACCUACUACAGACAGUUUGACUCAUUUGUUGUUUUAUGAAAGUUGUAUCUGUACGCGUAGUUUCAUUAUAGCACAGCUGAAAAAAGACAAUUUUUUGACAUAUCUACAAUUGGAGACCUUUUAGGGACAACUGAUGCAAUCGCUAAAUGAUGAUAGUUCACGAGUAAGAUCCUGUUUCUAUGUUCUUUUCUUGAACUGUUGUAUUUAGCAAUUUGUUUUUUUAUCUUGAACUGUUGUAUUUAGCAAUUUGUUUUUUUUUCUUGAACUGCUGUAUUUAGGAUCUUUGCUUCUUUUGUUUCGAGUUGUGUUUACUUUCGUUGUGGAAUCAAGAUCAUUACAAGGAUAUUCAUCAACAUUGAACCUAAAUCUACUUUGAUGUUUUACCUGUAAUUGAAAAUGAUCUUUUGCUUAUAAAUUUGUGGUUCUUUGGCUUAA
Mercurialis annua (annual mercury) is the source of this 1384-nucleotide long non-coding RNA. RefSeq lists it as uncharacterized. The transcript has 5 exons. NCBI's taxonomy places the organism in Eukaryota, Viridiplantae, Streptophyta, Magnoliopsida, Malpighiales, Euphorbiaceae. The record is from RefSeq and is a predicted model, not a curated record.